AAAUUAGAAGAAAAAAAAAGUAGUAGUAGUUCAAUUGAGGCAAGACAUUCCCAAUCUUAUCAUUGAAAAUUGGUAAGAAUAUAAAUUAAAAAACCUCAGUAGUGAUUACCACCAUCUUCCACCAAUUAAACCACCCACAUUGUGUCCCUUUCUUGGCCUUUUUGUUCCUUCUCUCAUUCAUUUUCUAUCAUUCUCUCUCUUUUGCUCAGGAAUUGCCUGCUACAGGACUACAGGGUUUAUCAUUAUAAAUUCAAAGUAAAAAAGAAUUUUUUAAACCAAAAAAGAGAAGUUUUGAACAUCACAUUGAAGAAAAAGAGAACCCAUAAAGCAAACAAAAAAUGGGAUGUUUUGGAAAGAGAUUUACUCUAUCAUUAUUGCUAUUUUUUUGUGUUUACAGGGAGAUUAUUGCUUAUUCUGGAAUUAUUAAUAAGUUGCCAAUAAUAUCAUUUGAUGAAGGCUAUUCUCAUCUUUUUGGAGAUGAUAAUCUUAUGGUUCUUAAAGAUGGAAAAUCUGUUCUUCUUUCUCUUGAUGAAAGAACUGGUUCUGGAUUCAUGUCAAAUGACCUUUACUUACAUGGGUUUUUCAGUGCUUCAAUUAAAUUGCCUGCUGAUUAUACUGCUGGGGUUGUAGUAGCCUUUUAUAUGUCUAAUGGUGAUAUGUUUGAGAAAAAUCACGAUGAAAUCGAUUUUGAGUUCUUAGGGAACAUCCGAGGCAAAGAAUGGAGGGUUCAGACCAAUGUGUAUGGGAACGGUAGCACAAGUGUAGGAAGAGAAGAAAGAUACACCUUAUGGUUCGACCCUACGGAGGAAUUUCAUUGUUACAGCAUUCUUUGGACUGAAGAUCAAAUCAUAUUUUAUGUGGAUGAUAUCCCCAUUAGGGAGAUAAGGAGAAGAGCAGCAAUGAAGCAUGAUUUUCCUUCCAAACCAAUGUCAAUAUAUUCAACUAUAUGGGAUGCCUCAAAUUGGGCCACCAAUGGAGGCAAGUACAAAGUAGACUAUAGAUAUGCCCCUUAUGUAUCCCAAUUCUCCGACCUCGUUCUUCAUGGUUGUGCUGUCGAUCCUAUCGAAAAAUCUCGAAAAUGUGAUGAUAUCACAUCCAUUGAUGGACAAAUCACCUCAUUACAAAGGAUCAAAAUGGCCAACUUUAGGAACAAAUACUUGACUUACUCGUAUUGCUACGACCAAUCUCGAUACAAGAUUCCACCUAGUGAGUGUGUUAUUGAUUCUCGAGAGGCUAACCGUCUUAAGAGGUUCGAUCCAGUCACAUUCGGAGGAGAAAGUCGACGCCACCAUGGUAGGCAUCACCAUCGGAGUACUAACAACGACGAGAAGGCCUCGAUUUAAGUGCAUUGGCACUCAUUGUUAGCCAAAAUUCUUCCUACUCUUCAUUUAUUGAUUUUUGGCUCAUAGAUACAUUGAUGUGUUAGGUUACUAGUUCUUUAAAUCAACACUCUUCUUAAUCAUCCAUAACUAUUCAAGGUAAUGUGUAAUAGUUUUCAUACCUCUAUGUUGUUUUAUGAAGUAUUGUUGUUGAUGAGCAUAUUGAAUUAGUUACAUUUGAUGUACAUUAUGUGUUAUAAGCAAUAUACGAGCUUUGAACUUAGACAUGAUCCCGAUCAAAUUCGUGGUAAAGGGAGGCUUAAGUUUAGGAGAAUUGCCAACGAAAUAGAUGAGGGUAGAAAGAAACGAAUUAAUUGUCGUCGUUGUGGGAGCAAAGGUCACAACACUAGAACCUGUAACUCCAGGUAAUAUAUUAUAUAUAUUAUACUAGUAUGAUACUCUAUAAUACGUAUAAUAAUGUUAAACUGACAACACAAAUGUAUUAUACAUAAUUACAUAAUGGUAAUAUUAACUAAAGCUACUGCGAACACAUUAGUAGAGGAGAUGAAUCCAGCAGCUCCAGGACCCCAAGACCCUAGUGUGUUGACUAUACAGCAUGAGCACAGGAUUACUCCUCUUUGGAACGCCUAGGUUAGAUGUACGAUAGUUGUGAUUUGCAUUUUACUAGUGAUAACAUACAAGUAACUUAUUUAUAUGUCAAUAUUCAUAGGUGUCCGAUACAGACACGUUAGGCACUAGGCAUCUAGAUUCCGUUCCAUGGGUGAUCGAUGAUAGGAUCAUCCCGUACCUAGAGCUCACGAGGUUGUAUGACUUUCACCUCGUUGCAUACAAUAGAGUUGACUGUGCCAUUAUCACAGCACUGGUUGAGAGAUGGCGUCAGGAGACACACACAUUUCAUCUCCCUUUAGGUGAGGCUACCAUCACACUGCUUAAUGUAGCCUUACUAACACGGCUUCCCAUCGAGGGACGUGCCGUGUGUACAGCCGGACGCCAGCUAUCAAGCUGGCGUGACAUGGUGCAUCGCAUUUAAGGAGUGCGCCCUCCAGCGGAAGUGAUCAGGGGGAGCAGUUUGCGCUGCACAUGGUUGGUUCAGACCUUUUCGCAUCUCCCCGAAGAUGCUGAUGAAGGCACCAUUGCGAGGUACGCCACUCUUAUAUUUGAUAGGAGCUGUCUUGUUUGCCGAUAAAACAAGCAACCAAAUACAGCUCCUAUAUUUAACUUAAAUUGACGAACCAUGGGAGCGCAUCGCCGAGUAUAGCUGGGGCUCCACAGCUCUAGGAUACUUGUACAGGAGGCUAUGUGGUGCUGCCCACAAGAACGUCAAGGAGAUUGCGGGACCACUAGUCUUAUUAUAGCUGUGGGCGUGGGAGCAUAUUCUUAUCGACCAACCUUACAGAACCGUUGUUCGUGGUGAUGCCGCUUCUCCGCAACAACCCCCACCAGAUGCUGCGUAUGGUUCAAGGUGGAAUUUUGCACACCGGACUGGCAAGCAA
RNA transcript from Amaranthus tricolor (Joseph's coat), 2833 nucleotides. It is a transcript of the gene named probable xyloglucan endotransglucosylase/hydrolase protein 28, with no coding region annotated. NCBI's taxonomy places the organism in Eukaryota, Viridiplantae, Streptophyta, Magnoliopsida, Caryophyllales, Amaranthaceae. The record is from RefSeq and is a predicted model, not a curated record. The transcript is spliced from 6 exons.